CGGAGUGUUGGACGAGGGUGUGUCUUUUUCCGCUUUGCUGCCGCUGAGAUGAAGUUCGCCAGCAAAGGGGAACAGGCCGAUCCUCCCGCACGAGCAAAUAAUCAUCGACG
Molecule: microRNA precursor, 110 nt
Filed under: Dinoponera quadriceps
Lineage: Eukaryota; Metazoa; Arthropoda; Insecta; Hymenoptera; Formicidae
Description: microRNA dqu-mir-316 precursor
Gene: dqu-mir-316
Source: miRBase by way of RNAcentral